UCCCAUAUAGUCUAGCCGGUUAGGAUAGCGGGUUUUCACCUCGCCGACCCGGGUUCGAGUCCCGGUGUGGGAA
Molecule: transfer RNA, 73 nt
Organism: Blastocystis sp.
Lineage: Eukaryota; Bigyra; Opalinata; Blastocystidae
Rfam family: tRNA
About the family: Transfer RNA (tRNA) molecules are approximately 80 nucleotides in length. Their secondary structure includes four short double-helical elements and three loops (D, anti-codon, and T loops).
Source: Rfam